GGAUUAGAUACCCUGGUAGUCCACGCUGUAAACGAUGAAUGUUAAAUAUGGGAAGUUUUACUUUCUGUAUUACAGCUAACGCGUUAAACAUUCCGCCUCGGGACUACGGUCGCAAGAUUAAAACUCAAAGGAAUCGACGGGGACCCGCACAAGCGGUGGAGCAUGUGGUUUAAUUCGAUGCAACGCGAAAAACCUUACCACUCCUUGACAUGGAAAUUAUACCUAUUCAGAAGGGAUAGGGUCGGUUCGGCCGGGCUUCACACAGGUGUUGCAUGGCUGUCGUCAGCUCGUGUCGUGAGAUGUUGGGUUAAGUCCCGCAACGAGCGCAACCCUCAUCCUUAGUUACCAUCAGGUAAUGCUGGGGACUUUAAGGAAACUGCCAGUGAUAAACCGGAGGAAGGUGGGGAUGAUGUCAAGUCAUCAUGGCCCUUAUCGAGUGGGCUACACACGUGCUACAAUGGUGGCUACAAUGGCCUGCAAAGUCGAGAGGGUAAGCUAAUCCCUUAAAAGCCAUCUCAGUUCGGAUUGUACUCUGCAACUCGAGUGCAUGAAGUUGGAAUCGCUAGUAAUCGUGGAUCAGCACGCCACGGUGAAUACGUUCUCGGGUCUUGUACACACUGCCCGUCACGCCAUGGGAAUUGGUUUCACUGGAAGCUAACGACCUAACCGCAAGGAGGGCGUUAUUUAAAGUGGGAUCGGUGACUGGGGUGAAGUCGUAACAAGGUAGCAGUAGGGGA
This 737-nucleotide ribosomal RNA is filed under the name uncultured bacterium. RNAcentral describes it as "bacterial SSU rRNA". It matches the Rfam family "Bacterial small subunit ribosomal RNA", at positions 775 to 1509 of the family's 1533-position model. The record is from RNAcentral.